This 125-nucleotide non-coding RNA is filed under the name Salvator merianae (Argentine black and white tegu). The record is from RNAcentral. Lineage: Eukaryota; Metazoa; Chordata; Lepidosauria; Squamata; Teiidae.
AUGUUGUACGAAAGGNGAGGAGGUUGGCGCUCCCCUCAAUAAGGACGGGAGAGCCCUGCGGCCUGUGCAGCAGGCGUAUGGUUAGGCAUUGCCAGGUACUGCAGAGUGGCAUCUGACUAUAUUAA